CAGGGCCUCCCAACCCCACCUCGGAGAGUCCGGAUGAACCUUCCAUUGGGACUUUCUUUCUACUCACACUGUUAACGCUUUGAUGACAAGACAACGGCGCUGAAGUGUGGUCAGCUGGCCUUUUCCACCAAGUUUUACUCUGGGGCCUGUGGACAGUUGGAGGAGCGGAAGGCCAGGCAUGCACGCAGGGUCUCCCGGCGGGAGCACCUUCAGGGCGUCCGUGAAGGGAACAUAAUAUGAAUGGCAUUAUGGGGCUC
Molecule: long non-coding RNA, 257 nt
Organism: Sciurus carolinensis (gray squirrel)
Lineage: Eukaryota; Metazoa; Chordata; Mammalia; Rodentia; Sciuridae
Exons: 2
Source: RefSeq, a predicted model, not a curated record